GGGACAAAAUUGACCAUGGAACCUGCUCUCCCAGAAUCUGAACCUUCUAUCUACCAACUGAAGUCCAAAGAUGGAAAUUUCUCAGCUUGCCUUAUCACGGACUUCGCCCCUGAAGGCAUCUCAGUUUGGAGUUCAGGCAGUGAACCAACACCAGUCAAUGGCUCCGUUGUGCAGGUGAAAAACCCAGACAGCGGAAAAAUGGAAGCAAGCUAUGGGACGGUGCUUUGGGAAGAGCAUGAGAACUUUGGCUGUUUCGCUACACAUGGAAAUAGAGAUUUCGAGAUGAGUGACCAUGAUGAGGAAGGUGACACCUGCCGGAUAACAGAGCUGGAUGACAAUUUUGAGACAGACGAGAAGCUGAACCUCCUGUCAUUUACGCUGCUGGGCCUGAGAAUCGUUUUUGUGAAAGGAGUGGCGGUUAACCUGCUACUGACCAUCUGGCUGUGGAAGAGCUAAAGAGUGGAAGGAAAGAGGACAGAUGGAAUCUGGAGUGAUGGGAAUUCCUCAGAGACCUGGUGUCAUCUCUUCACCUUCCCAUGCAGCAGGAAAUAUGCUGCAAUGAAAGAUCCCCAUAUCACCUCUGUAUAUAGGCCUGUUGUAUAAUGAGCUGAUGUGCUUUCCCUUAGCAAGUUUUAGAAGGAUCUCACCAACCUAGCCUGGUUUUUCCAUGACCCUCUUCCCUUUCACCCUCCGCAGACUGACACAAGCUCCCAGUGUGAGGCAAGGAAUUGCUGUUAAGUAGAGCUGGUCAACAAAUGUGUGGAAACAUUUUUUGAUGGAAAAUUAGAGUUUCAAUUUUUUUUUGGCAGAAAGUCCCCAUCUUCCUAGGGAAAAAAACUUCAAAUUUUCAUCAGAAACUCAAAAUGUUUGGCUAAAAACUGAAUAUUUUCAGGGUUUUUUUUUAACAGUUUUUGGCCACAAGAUUUUUCAGUUUUUGUCUGAAAAAUUUCAGUUUUCAGUUGUCAAACACCAAAAACAACUUUUUAAAACAUUUUUUCCAGUGAAAAUUUCAACAAAAAGUGAAUUUUUUUUUUAGUGUUCAUUGAAAUUUUCUGCAGAACAAACCAGCUUUACCAUUAACCCUAUUUUGAAAAGGGGAAAUUGAAGCACAGAGAAUGAGGCUGAGAUUUUCAAAGCCACCCAAGGGCUUUGGGCUCCUGCUUCUCUUGGAAAUUAAUGGGAAUUGUGCAUUAAAAUCCCCUAGGUUGAAUUUUACUCUCUCUGCUGCACACUGGGAUUUUCAAAGCGGCCUAGAGGAAUGAGGCAUCCAUCUCCACUUGAAAUUCAAUAGCAUUUCGGCAGCUAGUUCCUUUGAAAAUCCAGCCAACACAUUUCUGAUAGUGGUGGGUUCUUUAAGGCAGAUGCGUGGAAGUUGAUGCUACACAAAUUCAGCCUAGCACUAAAGUGCAAAUUAACAGUCAGGGUAAUUAACCAUUGGAUGGUGUUAACUAGGCGUGUGUGGAUUUCCCCUCUUUGCAUCAAGACUGGAUGCCUUUCUGAAAGACGCUGUAGUUCACCCAGACGUGAUGGGCUCAAAGCAGGGAUCCGUGGCCAACACUCUCUGGCUUGUAUUAUAUGCAGGAGUUGGGCUAGAGCAGAAUGGUCCCGUCUGGCCUCUUGAAGAAACUCAUACAAAUGACUCCAUGCCACAGUCUCUUCCCAUCCCCGCUCUGCAGAAUUGGCGGCCAGGUCCCGGGUGGUAGAAGCCAGCACCACCUCACCGAUUUUCAUGCAGUGACAGCAGUUCUGGAGGACGUACAUUACCCAAACACAAGACGGGCAUUAGUCACAGACAGGUUCUGGGCUCAUUGCAGGGCAGAUGUAAUAGCCAGGAAGUGAGACUAGUCUUUCAUGCCGUAAACGCUAGGAAUUUAUACCAGCUCUGGACUGAUCCUACAUUUUAUUGUUCCAAUCUGCAUUUAUAUUGUCCCUUAGCUCUGUUAACCUGACUUUCAAAGUGUAUCUCCCUAUUUUAAACAUUUUUAAAUGUGAGAUUUGCUCAUUUAUUCUUUGGAAAAGAUUUUAUCAUUUGUUUUCAUUUCCUGCGGAGCUUCUUUGUACGGCGUUGCUGAGAUGAUCAUGUACUCAAACUUCCUCUCCGGUCCGCCCUGGGCUGCUAGUAAAGAGCUUGGCUGAU
Mauremys reevesii (Reeves's turtle) is the source of this 2137-nucleotide non-coding RNA. NCBI's taxonomy places the organism in Eukaryota, Metazoa, Chordata, Testudines, Geoemydidae. The record is from the annotation of a RefSeq genome assembly.